This is a long non-coding RNA of Vollenhovia emeryi, 2035 nucleotides long. RefSeq lists it as uncharacterized. The transcript has 2 exons. Lineage: Eukaryota; Metazoa; Arthropoda; Insecta; Hymenoptera; Formicidae. The record is from RefSeq and is a predicted model, not a curated record.
UUUAAGGUAACACCGACGCGCCAAAUAUCGCGAGCGACAUUUCAUUUCUCCAGUUCGUAUUUCUUGUUAGAUUUCAAGUACCGGCGCUUAAACGACUCAUUGUUGUAGAGAUUUAUUCAACUCUCAACACUCGUUCAAUGCAUCUCCCGCCAUAAGUGCAUUUUGCAUAAUAUUGCAAAGAAUGAAAAAAAUUGAAUCGCUUACUAAUUGAGGCUAAAGAAGAAAAGAUUGUUUACUAGAGGAUGUCAAUACGCAUAAAAAUCAUGUUACGCAAAUGAAACAGUGUAGUCUUAACAUGUAAAUAAAAUUUUAUUUUCUUGGGUAUCUCUACACUGAGCUAUAAUGUUCGCACUUAAUGAGACGAUAUUUCAAGAGUACAUCUGUUAGGUUGCAUAAUUUCUGCAGAACAUUCUUGUUACCCGCUGCAAACCACUGUACGUGUUUGAUGAAUGGCUUUCUAUUUUCGCAACGCUAUAUUAAGCAAACACUAUGACCUAUGCCACAUGUCUGUUCCAAUUUGCUACACCUGUUACCCUGAAAAUUGUUGCGUAUAAUCGUACGGCCGAUUAAAAUUUAGCGCGAACGCUAAUGAUCGCCAAGCAGCUUGGAAGAAAAUCGGAACGAAAGCAGGACUCAUUCGGCGCGAUUCAAAUGAUUAAGUACGCGUAUAAUGGAGAGGAAGAGAUGCAUUGAACGAGUGUCGAGGGUCCAGUAAAUCUAUACAACAAUGAAUCGUUUAAGUGCACAUGCACUGGAUGCUAUUCUUGCUUUCGACCGCAAGGACAAAUUCCACAUACCGUGAGGCAUUUAAUGGCCGUAAAUCGAGCAGCAAUGAGUCGACUUACGCUCAUUCAAUGCAUCUGCAUCGGGUGCUGUUUUUGCUCUCCAUUGUAUCGCAGUCACUUUGUUACUGUAAACAAUACCGGUACUUAAAAUUUUUUUUAAACAAAAGAUAUUCGAACUACAAUUGGCGAGAUUGAUUUUCUUAAUAUUUUGUUCUAUCGAGGAUACGUCAGUGAUUGCACUGACGCUCGUCUCGAAGGUGUUUUCAACGCUCUAAUUGUAAGUAAAUUACUCUAUUACUGAAACAAAAACUCGCGUUAUUUACGUAACAAUCGUACGUAUGUCGUACAGAACAGCACGGCACAUAAAUGGAAAGCACGUGAAUCUAGUUAAAAUCUAUGCCAAUCAUCGGCAUCUAAAUUCUCAAUAAAUGUAAAUGCACGGCAUUUGCACGAUGAACUUUGUUGCAUUUUCAUGUACGCGUAGUUUACAUUGCGUGAAAAUGCAUUGAAUUAUUCAUUGCUUUUUGUUUCGGCGCACGCAUAGCGAGCGAACGCGUCGUCCGAAAUUAGCUUAAACAAUGCAAAGUUAAUGUCCACUUCAUAUUAAUAUAUACUUACAUUUAAUUUUAAACACGCUUUCUGUUUCAAAUCCUGCAAAUUCCGGCAAGCAAUACCGAUUUUCCGCGUGCGAGUCACAUCCGUCACUUUGUAGCCUUUGAGCUGAAAUAAAUUUUGCAGUAUUUAGAUUGGAGCGGCAGCAUUAGGCCCACCGGCCAAUAAACUAAGUUGCGCGCAUCGAGGGACAUCGGGUAAUAUUAAAUUAUUUCGGACCACGUAACCGCGUAAUUGCACUCUGCGUCACGUUCAAGGCCAUCGGAUUUCAGAGCUUUACGCGUGUACAAUUUCUUGAAAUGACCCACAUUUUAUAUUCAAUGGCGUCCAGUCGAGGCCACUCGACGCGUCACGUCAAAAUGCAAAUGUCAUGAAUAAUGAAGCCGCUGAUACUAAUAUUCAUCAAAUCCCCUUAUACGCGCUAUCAUAUGUACAUUGUUGAUUAACGACCAAAUGACAGAUUGGAUGCGAACCGUAUGCCGUUAGAUACCAGCAUUCUUGCCUGAAGAUAUUCUUCAGUGAUAAACAUUACAUGUUAACACGUAUUAUUGGUAGAAUAUGUAUAGUUAGUAAUAGUAUUGGUAAAUACAGCAACAGUAUUAGCGGUAGGAAUAAUAAAUAUUUCACUAUACACUGAA